CAGAAAAGUAUUUCUAAAACAAAUGCUGACCAAAGUACUCCUGUUUUGCAGACAUAUCAUUUACUUCAUUCCAUCAUCUACUUUAAUGUUAAAUUUAGCUUUCCUAAUGUUUACAGAUUUCUCUCUCUAUGCGAAGAAAAACAAGUGAUUCUUGAUACCAUAUGUGUAUUUCAAGUUUAUAUGUAACGUAUCUCCUUCUGGCAAAUUUUGCUCUUGAGUUUUAAUAACUAUAUUGGGAAGAUAAUGAGCUAUUGAGUGAGGAAAAUUCCUUCACCUGCCCUUUUGAAAAUUAAUAGUUUAAUCCAAUGCUAAUUGAAGAUACUGAAAGGACAAAAGAAGGUACUUUUCACAAAUCGCUGAGAUUGAGUAGAUUGCCUCUAGCUUAUGAAAGUACUCAGGCUGAGACAGAGAGAAGGUGGUAUUCACAAGGGCUCAUUGCUUCCAACUCCCUUCUGAGACACAAGACAACACAGAAGCCAUCACAGAAGACUUUUGCAAAUAUUUUACAUUUUUGAAUACUAUUGUGUAUACUUUUCAUUUCAAACUGUAGUUUAAACAUGACUUACAGAAAAUUAUUUUCAUUCCUUUGCAAUUUAUAUAACCUUCUACUCUGAGUUGAUCCAUGCACCUGGAACUAGUUUUGUGAGUUUUGCAUAUUAUAUCUACAUGACUUUACCUUUGACUUGGACCAGUACAAAUCUAUUAUAAUGCUCCUGACCAAGGUUUUCUUCUUAAUUGAUAUUAAUGUAUUGAUGGUCUGCCCAUGUUUAUGGAGAAAGCCACUAAGUUCAAACCUCAGACUUUUCCCAUGACCACUACAUAUGCCGUCAUACUUGAUAACCACUUUAUUGAAAUAAAUACCUU
RNAcentral lists this long non-coding RNA (864 nucleotides) under Chinchilla lanigera (long-tailed chinchilla). RNAcentral describes it as "lncRNA (ENSCLAG00000024228.1)". The record is from RNAcentral. Lineage: Eukaryota; Metazoa; Chordata; Mammalia; Rodentia; Chinchillidae.